CGGCCGCGGUAUCCUGACCGUGCAAAGGUAGCAUAAUCAUUUGUUCUUUAAAUAGGGACUUGUAUGAAUGGCCACACGAGGGUUUAACUGUCUCUUACUUCUAAUCAGUGAAAUUGACCUUUCCGUGAAGAGGCGGAAAUAAACAAAUAAGACGAGAAGACCCUAUGGAGCUUUAAUUUUCUUAAUCCAUGGAUUAAAAAUUUUGGUUGGGGUGACCUCGGAGAAUAAAAUAACCUCCGAACUAAGACUAACAAGUCUAAGUCAGUCUAACUGAUCAACGGAACAAGUUACCCUAGGGAUAACAGCGCAAUCCUAUUCAAGAGUCCCUAUCGACAAUAGGGUUUACGACCUCSAUGUUGGAUCAGGACAUCCUAAUGGUGCAGCAGCU
This 388-nucleotide ribosomal RNA is filed under the name Neomys fodiens (Eurasian water shrew). RNAcentral's name for it is "partial 16S ribosomal RNA". It matches the Rfam family "Bacterial large subunit ribosomal RNA", at positions 1928 to 2563 of the family's 2925-position model. The record is from RNAcentral. Lineage: Eukaryota; Metazoa; Chordata; Mammalia; Eulipotyphla; Soricidae.